CUAACCGAGCGACUUCCUUCAUUUGACAGAUAUUUGCUGAGUGACCACCUGAUGCUCGUUGCUGUGUUUGGUGCUGAGUGGUGGGCAGAGUGGGAAACAAGGCACAACCCCUGCCCACAAGGAGCUUACCGUUCACAACGAAUCAACCAUCUGACCAGCUGUCGCUCCAGCCUGCAGCCCGCGAGCAGCUGCACGUUCACAACUUUGACAUCUGCUUGAAAGAACAAGUUUACUGCCUCCACAGGCACCCAGCAUCUGGCAAGAAAACCAGCCGUGUGACCCGGAGAGCUCCCUGGUGGAUGCCAGGAGGCAGCUGUGCAAGCUGAAUAACUAAGCCCUCCAUGGCCACACCGUGACCUCAGGGCCUGCUCACUCCAGGUCUUACAGGGUGUUUUCUUCAGAGAGGCCUCCUUCACCUUGUCCAGAGACAGCUUUCCAGGAGGCUCCAGGCCUAGCUGCCCUGGCAGACACCCAGGGAGGAAAGACAGCGUGGCCUUGGCAGCUGCCCGCCAAGAAGGAGCCCACAGGUACCAGGAAGCCAUGCCCUGUCCUGACCCCCUUCAGCAACCCUGUUACUCUGCCAUAUGGACUUGUUUGGGGACUAGUGGGAGAGAAAGAUUUGGGGUCUUUCAGCCCUGCUUUUCUGACAUCAAGGCUGCUGAUUCUCCAUCUGCUCCAGACUACCAGGCUGUAGGGAGGCUUUCAGCAGGAGGGAAGCAGACAGUAGGAUCCUGAAGACCCUUAAAAGUAAGGACUACUCUCCCCCACCUUUGCCUUCCCAGGUGUGAGAUAAUCAGCAGGAUUUGGGGUGGGUAUUUUGCAUGAAGAGAAACACGAUCCUCCAGGAGCCCUCUGGGAGGGAAAGGUGAUGACUUCAUUGGUUGCUGUACUACUUCUGAAGCUCAUAGAAAUAAGGCACCUUGUUCACCAGGCUGAUCCUCCCUUAAAUAAUAGCUCCUAUUUACAGAUCCAGUGGCUCUGCCAAGUACUUUAUACGCAUUGGCUCACUUUAAUCUUUACAACAGCACUGUCUUGACUGGCUCCUCUUAUUAUCAUCUCCACUUUACCAGAUGAGGAAUCUAAAAGUCUGAG
This 1092-nucleotide long non-coding RNA is filed under the name Rhinolophus ferrumequinum (greater horseshoe bat). RNAcentral describes it as "lncRNA (ENSRFEG00010016007.1)". The record is from RNAcentral. Lineage: Eukaryota; Metazoa; Chordata; Mammalia; Chiroptera; Rhinolophidae.